Long non-coding RNA from Erigeron canadensis, 406 nucleotides. RefSeq lists it as uncharacterized. NCBI's taxonomy places the organism in Eukaryota, Viridiplantae, Streptophyta, Magnoliopsida, Asterales, Asteraceae. The record is from RefSeq and is a predicted model, not a curated record. The transcript is spliced from 3 exons.
AGAGGAAGAGGAACUGUGACUUAAAUCUUUGAUUUAUUCUUCAUUUCUUUAAGGUUGAAAGCUUGUUUUAUGCACUUGCGGUUAUUUUGAGUUGUUGAUUUGUGAUCACGAAGGAGGUUGCCCCGGAAGUUGGAAACAAUAUUAUGUUCUUUGAAGAUUAUUGAUGAAUUGAAUUGUGGAAAUGUGACUUAUGCGGUAAAAUGGUUUGAAUCUAGAACCCGUAGUAGCCCCAUUUGAACUAAUGGCUCUUGGUACAUUUGAAGUGUUUUUGGUAAAGCUUUGUUACAUAUAUUUCUGCAAAUUUUCAGUUGGUGUCAUAGUCUUUGUAACUAAAUGCAUGUGGUGAUUUUGGAGGUUUGACAACUUGGAUAAAUGACUCGUUUAGUCUUGUAAACUUGGUUUUGUA